UUUCAUUCUUUUGCAUGUGUCUUUCCAAAUUUUCCAACACUAUUGACAAGGCUUUCCUUUCUCCAUUGCAUGUGUUUUGCUUCUUUGCCUAAAAUUAGUUGCCCAUAUACAUGAGGGUUUACUUUUGCUCUCUCAGUUCUGUUCCAUUGGUCUGUGUGUCUAUUUUUCUGCUAAUACCAUACUGUUCUGAUUAUUGUAGCAGCUCUUUCUUUAAAACUCUUUUUGUGCUUUUGUUAAUAACUCCCUGAUUCUUCUUGUGCUUUUCUGGCCUAUCCAGCCUCUCUGUGUCUUUCCCUGGGUCUUUAGAAAUGUGCCAGAAAAAGACAAGGAAAUGCCAUUCUCCCUUAUGUACUAGCAUUCCUAGGGGUCCCCUCCUCUCCCUGGCAAGCCUCCCCAACACCUGACUUCAGCUACAUCCAUUGGCUGAUGAAUCCCACAAUGACAUUGGUGCCUAGACCAGAACCUUCCACGGAACCCCAACCUUACCACAUCAAAAACGAAAUUCAGUUUCUCUUCCAAAUUCACUGCCUUCUGUUUCCCCAAUCUUGCUUGUCAGCCAUUCGCCCGAUGGUCCAAGUCAGUAACCUGAAAGUUAUGCUGGAUUUCUCCUUCCUACCUACAAUCCCCUGGGCCUGUCCUGCAUUGUUCUCAAGCAGCUCUUCCUUCUGUGCCUCCAGUUUAUCACGUGGUGUCUUUCAUUGGAAAUGUUGCAGCACUGGUACUUCUGUCCUGUCCUGUUUGUCUACAUUGCUGCAGAGCAAUCUUUCCAGUACAUGAUUCUGUUUAUGUGAUCACACAGCUCAGAAUUUUUCAGAAGCUCUCCGUAGCCUGUGAGAUAAAGUAGAAAUGUAUUGGCAUCGCAUAUUGGGCUCCUCAUAGAUAUCCAGUUGUUGAUACACACAGACCCAGUGAAGAAUCCAGGACUGAAAAUCUAGCUCUGUAAGCAGAGGGCAGGGAAAGAUAGACGGAAGAGGCUAGCCACUCCAGUCCGGUAAUUUAUAUAGUUUAUUAAUGGACACAGCUCAUUAAAUACAUCUUAGGUGGCUUCAAUUCAGAAUGGAUUCCACACAGCUUGGCAGGAGCAAAGAAUCAUAUAGGAUAAAGGGGGGAUAGUCAUGGGUCCUAGCAUGUGAAAGCUACCAGGUAUGGGAAAUCACAUGCUGGACCAGGUCAGGACAAAGGCCUGUCCCAGGAACCAGCAUGCAGCAGGGGAGGGGUGCUAGUUUAUGUCAGAACCGUCAUUGAUUACAGUAACCGUUCAGGCCCUGGUCCAGUUUGCCUGCGGGUCUGACAGCAGCCAUGCCCUGGAACAGUCUCUCCACAUCGGCCUAAACUGCCUCGGGUUGAGUGAUAUCGUGAUAGUGUGAAUGUUUCCUACAUCGACAUUUACUUGACAUAGUUGGCAGGAUUCCAGAAAGCUCACCCAGGAACACUUGUGCUAGGAUGCAGCAAGGGACCCAUUGAGCCCCGCCAGCUUCCCACAGGCUGCAUCAGCUGCCUUGAACCCUGCCACACUCCUCCCUGAAGAGGAGGCAGAGGCCCCUUUGCAUCACUGCGAGGAGACACUGACUACCCUCACUUCCCUCCACGAGGACCUUGUGGACCAGCCCUUGCAGAAUCUGGAUGAGACCCUCUACACGGACGGGAGCAGCUUCAUAGAGGAAGGUACCCGGUAUGCGGGGGCGGCAGUAGUAACGUGAGGAGGAGCCAGGGGAGAUCUGCAAUCUGCCAGGAUUAGAAAGAAGCCCUGGUGAGUGCCCCGGCACUGGCCCUGCCAGACCUACCCAGGGAAUGCAGGGGUAUAUCUCCUCACACUGCCCUUACAGGAGGACACAGGAGCCACCUUAAGGAAGUCUCCUGACCUCAGGAGGAAAGGAAAAAAGCUCCUGAGAUACUUAACCACCUAGCAGCCAUAUAGGGGCCAAGAAAGUGGUUAAAAGACCAGUAGGGCCCCUAGAAGUUCUCGUAGCCCUGCAGCCAGAGGAGCAGAGGCUAGCUGAGAAACUAGGGGCCCGGGAAGGCGAGGCUGGAUGGCUAAUUCUGCCAGACGGGAGGCCUAUAGUGCCCGAAGCCCUGGGGCGGACCAUCGCUUCCCAGACCCACCAGAGCACCCACCUGGGGGGAACGAUCAGAACUACUGGGAAGAGAAUUUUACAUCCCAGGACUCCAGAAAAUAUCUCAAGAGUUGGCUAGAAGGUGCCAAGUGUGUGCCCGGGUGAACCAAGGGCCCCUGUUGUGGCUGCGCCGGGGCAGCAAUUCCGAGGUCAGAACCCUGGAGAACACUGGGAAGUGGACUUCACUGAGAUACCAGGAGGACAAGGAGGAUAUAAAUACUUGCUGGUUUUCAUUGAUACCUUCUCUGGCUGGCCUGAGGCAUACCCAACCAAGGCAGAAACAGCACAGGUAGUAGUUAGGAAACUCCUCACUGAAAUUGCCCCCCGGUUUAGCCUAUCACUAUACAUGGGGUCCGUCAAUGGCCCAGCGUUCAUCGCUAAAGUUACACAAUCCAUAGUUAAGGCACUGAGGGUUACUUGGAAAUUGCAUUGUGUUUAUAGACCACAGAGUUCUAGACAGGUAGAGAGGAUGAAUCGGACCUCAAAGGAAACAUUAACUAAGUUAAAAUUAGAGACUGGCGGAAACUGGGUAAGUCUCCUUCCUUUUGCUUUCCUCAGAGCUAGGUGCACCCCAUACAUCCAAGGGCUAACUCCUUUUGAGAUAAUGUUUGGGCGACCGCCACCAUUGGUGCCCAGGUUGGGGGAGGAGGAGGUUGCCCGUCUCUCUACCCAUAAUUUGCUUAAGUCUUUGCAGGCACUCCAGCAAGCUGCCACAACAGCCCAAAGGAUUGUGAAAGAGGCUCACCUAGAGACUGAACAGCAGAAGGAGCCCAGGGGACAUCAGUUUUAUCCGGGAUAUCUCGUCUGGGUCAAGCACCACCAGCCCGGAGGGCUCGAGCCACGCUGGGACGGUCCAUAUACUGUAGUCCUCAGCACCCCCUCAGCAGUCAAGGUAGCCAGCAAGAGACAUUGGAUCCAUCGCACCCAAGUGAAGACAGCCGACAGCGGUGACAGCCCCCGGAAGUGGAAAGUAAAACCAACCCAGGACCCACUGAAGGCAAAGCUGGUACCUGCACACCUAGUACUCCCAGCUAGUAGAUACUAACAACGAAUCCAGGGUCUGAAUUCGUCCUUAAAGACAAGUAGGGAGUGUUACAGUUAAGCCCCCCUUGUACUGGGGAAAUGGAACCAACUGUGGUCGAGGGUAGUCUAGGGUACAGGGCAAGUUUAUAUUAGUAGCUGGAGCAACAGGGCAAAGUUGAUUAAUAAUACCUUGGUAACAGGGCAGUGUUGAUUAAUGUAGCCCUGGUAACUUUGUGUCUGUAUCCCAGGUAACUUUGUGUGUGUUUAGCCAACCGUUUUGUAGUUUCUGUGUAUAAAAGGCUGGCCUAGAACCAGGUUCAACGCUGUCGUAGGAGAAAACGCCUACGGAAGUCACUGGCCAGUUUUCAAUAAAUCCUCGCUUGCUGUUUAAGACCUAAUUGGAGUUGGUGGUCUUAUUCUUGCAAAUGUUGGUCCAUAA
Molecule: long non-coding RNA, 3576 nt
Organism: Myotis myotis
Lineage: Eukaryota; Metazoa; Chordata; Mammalia; Chiroptera; Vespertilionidae
Exons: 3
Source: RefSeq, a predicted model, not a curated record